This 1342-nucleotide ribosomal RNA is filed under the name uncultured bacterium. RNAcentral's name for it is "16S ribosomal RNA". It matches the Rfam family "Bacterial small subunit ribosomal RNA", at positions 28 to 1378 of the family's 1533-position model. The record is from RNAcentral.
GACGAACGCUGGCGGCGUGCUUAACACAUGCAAGUCGAACGGAAAGGCCCUGCUUUUGUGGGGUGCUCGAGUGGCGAACGGGUGAGUAACACGUGAGUAACCUGCCCUUGACUUUGGGAUAACUUCAGGAAACUGGGGCUAAUACCGGAUAGGAGCUCCUGCUGCAUGGUGGGGGUUGGAAAGUUUCGGCGGUUGGGGAUGGACUCGCGGCUUAUCAGCUUGUUGGUGGGGUAGUGGCUUACCAAGGCUUUGACGGGUAGCCGGCCUGAGAGGGUGACCGGCCACAUUGGGACUGAGAUACGGCCCAGACUCCUACGGGAGGCAGCAGUGGGGAAUAUUGCACAAUGGGCGGAAGCCUGAUGCAGCAACGCCGCGUGCGGGAUGACGGCCUUCGGGUUGUAAACCGCUUUCGCCUGUGACGAAGCGUGAGUGACGGUAAUGGGUAAAGAAGCACCGGCUAACUACGUGCCAGCAGCCGCGGUGAUACGUAGGGUGCGAGCGUUGUCCGGAUUUAUUGGGCGUAAAGGGCUCGUAGGUGGUUGAUCGCGUCGGAAGUGUAAUCUUGGGGCUUAACCCUGAGCGUGCUUUCGAUACGGGUUGACUUGAGGAAGGUAGGGGAGAAUGGAAUUCCUGGUGGAGCGGUGGAAUGCGCAGAUAUCAGGAGGAACACCAGUGGCGAAGGCGGUUCUCUGGGCCUUUCCUGACGCUGAGGAGCGAAAGCGUGGGGAGCGAACAGGCUUAGAUACCCUGGUAGUCCACGCUGUAAACGGUGGGUACUAGGUGUGGGGUCCAUUCCACGGGUUCCGUGCCGUAGCUAACGCUUUAAGUACCCCGCCUGGGGAGUACGGCCGCAAGGCUAAAACUCAAAGGAAUUGACGGGGCCCCGCACAAGCGGCGGAGCAUGCGGAUUAAUUCGAUGCAACGCGUAGAACCUUACCUGGGUUGACAUGGAUCGGGAGCGCUCAGAGAUGGGUGUGCCUCUUUUGGGGUCGGUUCACAGGUGGUGCAUGGCUGUCGUCAGCUCGUGUCGUGAGAUGUUGGGUUAAGUCCCGCAACGAGCGCAACCCUUGUUCACUGUUGCCAGCACGUUAUGGUGGGGACUCAGUGGAGACCGCCGGGGUCAACUCGGAGGAAGGUGGGGAUGACGUCAAGUCAUCAUGCCCCUUAUGUCCAGGGCUUCACGCAUGCUACAAUGGCUGGUACAGAGAGUGGCGAGCCUGUGAGGGUGAGCGAAUCUCGGAAAGCCGGUCUCAGUUCGGAUUGGGGUCUGCAACUCGACCUCAUGAAGUCGGAGUCGCUAGUAAUCGCAGAUCAGCAACGCUGCGGUGAAUACGUUCCCGGG